UAUUGUUAGAGGACCUCUGAACUUUCAAUAGCGUUUCUACCUUGUUGAAACGCUAUGGAUAGUGUUUCACAAUUUUUACAUGACGCGGAAGUAUAUUUAAUAGCAUUACCAUAUUAAAACGCUAUUGAAAGGGUUGGGCGCUAAAAAUUUCCCAUUCCCGCUACUACACUUAGAAAUAUUUUUGGGCAUUUCUUUUCUUUUUCCCCUUAGCUCAUCUUUGUCGACUUUACUCUUCAAUUUUUAGGGUUUCCUCUUUCUCUCCUCUUUGCUAUCUCCGACAAACACAAAACAGAAAUUUCCGAAAAAUUUCAACGUCUUUGCUCUCUCCGCAUCUUCCUUAGGUUCUCCCAUCUUCCUUGUAUGCUCGAUCUGUUUGGGAAUCCCACUAAAUCGAAGGUCGUAGUCGAACCAGUAUCCAAACACAUCACUUGUCCAGAUUGAAGGAGUCAACACCCAAGAGAAGUUCGAGUUAAUCAGAAGAGAACAAACUCUAUCAGGUAUAUGAUUCUUCUAUCAGAUUACUUGUAUUGUUGUUUUGGCUUUGAAAGUGACUGCCUCUGAAAAUUACUUGUAUGCACAUUUGGUCGGAGCUCUUGUGAAAUGGAUAAAGCUUGGGUUUGGUUGCCAAGGUAUUAACUUGUUCUUACAUAUAUGCAUUGAUUUUAUUUUAUGAUUGACUGUUCUCAGUUUGUAAUGGGUACUAUUUGUUAACGUGUAGGAAUAGCCUUGAGUA
Long non-coding RNA from Arabidopsis lyrata subsp. lyrata, 733 nucleotides. RefSeq lists it as uncharacterized. The record is from RefSeq and is a predicted model, not a curated record. Lineage: Eukaryota; Viridiplantae; Streptophyta; Magnoliopsida; Brassicales; Brassicaceae. The transcript is spliced from 3 exons.